GACGAACGCUGGCGGCGUGCUUAACACAUGCAAGUCGAACGAUGACGCUGGAGCUUGCUCCAGUUGAUUAGUGGCGAACGGGUGAGUAACACGUGCGCACUCUGCCCUUGACUCUGGGAUAACUGCGGGAAACUGUAGCUAAUACCGGAUACUUUCACCGGCACGCAUCUUUUGGUUAUGAAAGAAUUUCGGUCAGGGAUGAGCUCGCGGCCUUUCAGCUUGUUGGUGAGGUAACGGCUCACCAAGGCGACGACGGGUAACCGGCCUGAGAGGGUGACCGGUCACACUGGGACUGAGACACGGCCCAGACUCCUACGGGAGGCAGCAGUGGGGAAUAUUGCACAAUGGGCGCAAGCCUGAUGCAGCAACGCCGCGUGAGGGAUGAAGGCCUUCGGGUUGUAAACCUCUUUUAGCAGGGAAGAAGCGAAAGUGACGGUACCUGCAGAAAAAGCACCGGCUAACUACGUGCCAGCCGCCGCAGUAA
This 484-nucleotide ribosomal RNA is filed under the name uncultured bacterium. RNAcentral's name for it is "partial 16S ribosomal RNA". It matches the Rfam family "Bacterial small subunit ribosomal RNA", at positions 28 to 523 of the family's 1533-position model. The record is from RNAcentral.